AAGUCGUAACAAGGUUUCCGUAGGUGAACCUGCGGAAGGAUCAUUAAUGAUUUUUAAAGCGAGUCGAGCGUUUAAGCGAGGCUUUGCGAAAAUAUUUAAAACCCCACUCUUAUUAACUUUAAAAAAAUAAAUCAUGAUACAUGAAUUUAAAAAAAUCACUUUCAACAACGGAUCUCUUGGCUCUC
This 185-nucleotide unclassified non-coding RNA is filed under the name Funneliformis sp. RNAcentral's name for it is "partial internal transcribed spacer region". The stretch from base 1 to 46 matches the Rfam family "Eukaryotic small subunit ribosomal RNA", at positions 1786 to 1831 of the family's 1831-position model. Lineage: Eukaryota; Fungi; Glomeromycota; Glomeromycetes; Glomerales; Glomeraceae. The record is from RNAcentral.